Molecule: small nuclear RNA, 106 nt
Organism: Talpa occidentalis (Iberian mole)
Lineage: Eukaryota; Metazoa; Chordata; Mammalia; Eulipotyphla; Talpidae
Source: RefSeq, a predicted model, not a curated record
GUGCUCACCUCAGCAGCACACAUACUAAAAUUGGAAUACACAGAGAAGAUUAGCAUGGCCUCUGUGCAAGGAUGACAUGCUCAUUUGUGAAGUGUUUCAUAUUUGA